Molecule: long non-coding RNA, 274 nt
Organism: Morone saxatilis (striped sea-bass)
Lineage: Eukaryota; Metazoa; Chordata; Actinopteri; Moronidae
Exons: 3
Source: RefSeq, a predicted model, not a curated record
GAGCCCCCUGUUUACAUUCUGGUACCUUUCAAUGAUCCAGAUUUUGGGCCACUUAUAAAGACUACAGACCCAAAUGUCUUCAAGAAUGCUAUCAAUUCACUAUCAGCAGAUGGUGGAGGAGAUUUUCCGGAAAUGAGUCUUUCAGGGCUUCAGCUGGCUUUAACUGGUGCUCCUCCUAAUUCUGAGAUCUUCCUCUUCACGGAUGCACCUGCUAAAUAUAUCGACCUGAAAAGCACAGUGACAGCACUCAUAGAGCGCACCAAGUCAGUGGUGA